RNAcentral lists this long non-coding RNA (249 nucleotides) under Theobroma cacao (cacao). Its description in RNAcentral is "long non-coding RNA (TCAC_LNC006001)". Lineage: Eukaryota; Viridiplantae; Streptophyta; Magnoliopsida; Malvales; Malvaceae. The record is from RNAcentral.
GGGGGUGGCCAAGAGGCGAGGACCUGAUAGCUGUUAGCACGUAGCCUAACGCACCCAGCCCGGCCUGCUACUCCUCUUGAGGGAACAAGAGAUUAACCACGUGGGAGUAGGCACUUGUAGGGCGUUGGUGUUUCAUUUUUUUGACCACACGGGGGAAACACCAGAGAAAGACCCCCAACAGUUGUUUAUACCCCCUAACCCGAGGAUGGUUUAGGGUUUAAAAGUACCAAAGCCACUCCCAGCCCCCAC